ACAACAGGGAUUGCCCUAGUAACGGCGAGUGAAGCGGCAACAGCUCAAAUUUGAAAUCUGGCGCAAGCCCGAGUUGUAAUUUGUAGAGGAUGUUUCUGGCGACGUGCCUUCCGAGUUCCCUGGAACGGGACGCCAUAGAGGGUGAGAGCCCCGUACGGUUGGAUGCCUAGCCUCUGUGAAACUCCUUCGACGAGUCGAGUAGUUUGGGAAUGCUGCUCUAAAUGGGAGGUAUACGUCUUCUAAAGCUAAAUACCGGCCAGAGACCGAUAGCGCACAAGUAGAGUGAUCGAAAGAUGAAAAGCACUUUGAAAAGAGGGUUAAAAAGUACGUGAAAUUGUUGAAAGGGAAGCGUUCAUGACCAGACUUGAGCAGGUUGAUCAUCCGUGGUUCUCCGCGGUGCACUCUGCCUGCUCAGGCCAGCAUCAGUUCGCUCCGGGGGAUAAAGGCUCUGGGAAUGUGGCUCCCUCGGGAGUGUUAUAGCCCACUGCGUAAUACCCUGGGGUGGACUGAGGUUCGCGCUCUGCAAGGAUGCUGGCGUAAUGGUCAUCAACGACCCGUCUUGAAACACGGACCAAGGAGUCGUCUUCGUAUGCGAGUGUUCGGGUGUCAAACCCCUACGCGUAAUGAAAGUGAACGUAGGAGAGAGCUUCGGCGCAUCUCCGACCGAUCCUGAUGUUCUCGGAUGGAUUUGAGUAAGAGCAUACGGGGCCGGACCCGAAAGAAGGUGAACUAUGCCUGUAUAGGGUGAAGCCAGAGGAAACUCUGGUGGAGGCUCGCAGCGGUUCUGACGUGCAAAUCGAUCGUCAAAUAUGGGCAUGGGGGCGAAAGACUAAUCGAACCUUCUAGUAGCUGGUUUCCGCCGAGCUCCCCCUCGGUAUUAA
Molecule: ribosomal RNA, 881 nt
Filed under: Clonostachys rosea
Lineage: Eukaryota; Fungi; Ascomycota; Sordariomycetes; Hypocreales; Bionectriaceae
Description: partial large subunit ribosomal RNA
Rfam family: Eukaryotic large subunit ribosomal RNA
Source: RNAcentral